CCUACGGGGGGCAGCAGUGGGGAAUAUUGGACAAUGGGCGAAAGCCUGAUCCAGCAAUGCCGCGUGAGUGAUGAAGGCCCUAGGGUUGUAAAGCUCUUUUACCCGGGAAGAUAAUGACUGUACCGGGAGAAUAAGCCCCGGCUAACUCCGUGCCAGCAGCCGCGGUAAUACGGAGGGGGCUAGCGUUGUUCGGAAUUACUGGGCGUAAAGCGCACGUAGGCGGCUUUGUAAGUCAGAGGUGAAAGCCUGGAGCUCAACUCCAGAACUGCCUUUGAGACUGCAUCGCUUGAAUCCAGGAGAGGUCAGUGGAAUUCCGAGUGUAGAGGUGAAAUUCGUAGAUAUUCGGAAGAACACCAGUGGCGAAGGCGGCUGACUGGACUGGUAUUGACGCUGAGGUGCGAAAGCGUGGGGAGCAAACAGGAUUAGAUACCCCAGUAGUC
RNAcentral lists this ribosomal RNA (440 nucleotides) under uncultured bacterium. RNAcentral's name for it is "bacterial SSU rRNA". It matches the Rfam family "Bacterial small subunit ribosomal RNA", at positions 338 to 795 of the family's 1533-position model. The record is from RNAcentral.